Molecule: ribosomal RNA, 500 nt
Filed under: uncultured bacterium
Lineage: Bacteria
Description: partial 16S ribosomal RNA
Rfam family: Bacterial small subunit ribosomal RNA
Source: RNAcentral
AUUGAACGCUGGCGGCAUGCCUUACACAUGCAAGUCGAACGGCAGCACGGGAGCAAUCCUGGUGGCGAGUGGCGAACGGGUGAGUAAAGUAUCGGAACGUGCCCAGUCGUGGGGGAUAACGUAGCGAAAGUUACGCUAAUACCGCAUACGAUCUAUGGAUGAAAGCGGGGGAUCGCAAGACCUCGCGCGAUUGGAGCGGCCGAUAUCAGAUUAGGUAGUUGGUGGGGGAAAGGCUCACCAAGCCGACGAUCUGUAGCUGGUCUGAGAGGACGACCAGCCACAAUGGGACUGAGACACGGCCCAGACUCCUACGGGAGGCAGCAGUGGGGAAUUUUGGACAAUGGGCGAAAGCCUGAUCCAGCCAUGCCGCGUGCAGGAUGAAGGCCUUCGGGUUGUAAACUGCUUUUGUACGGAACGAAAAGGUUUGGCCUAAUAAGCUGAGCUCACGACGGUACCGUAAGAAUAAGCACCGGCUAACUACGUGCCAGCCGCCGCAGUAA